This 2881-nucleotide ribosomal RNA is filed under the name Burkholderia multivorans. RNAcentral's name for it is "23S ribosomal RNA". It matches the Rfam family "Bacterial large subunit ribosomal RNA". Lineage: Bacteria; Pseudomonadati; Pseudomonadota; Betaproteobacteria; Burkholderiales; Burkholderiaceae. The record is from RNAcentral.
GGUCAAGCGAACAAGUGCAUGUGGUGGAUGCCUUGGCGAUCACAGGCGAUGAAGGACGCGGUAGCCUGCGAAAAGCCCCGGGGAGCUGGCAAACAAGCUUUGAUCCGGGGAUGUCCGAAUGGGGAAACCCACUCCUUAUGGAGUAUCCAUAGCUGAAUACAUAGGCUAUGUGAAGCGAACGCGGUGAACUGAAACAUCUAAGUAACCGCAGGAAAAGAAAUCAACCGAGAUUCCCAAAGUAGUGGCGAGCGAAAUGGGAUGAGCCUUGUACUCUUUAUUUGUAUUGUUAGCCGAACGCUCUGGAAAGUGCGGCCAUAGCAGGUGAUAGCCCUGUAGGCGAAAACAGUAUGAAAGAACUAGGUGUACGACAAGUAGGGCGGGACACGUGAAAUCCUGUCUGAAGAUGGGGGGACCAUCCUCCAAGGCUAAAUACUCGUGAUCGACCGAUAGUGAACCAGUACCGUGAGGGAAAGGCGAAAAGAACCCCGGGAGGGGAGUGAAAUAGAUCCUGAAACCGCAUGCAUACAAACAGUCGGAGCCUCGUAAGGGGUGACGGCGUACCUUUUGUAUAAUGGGUCAGCGACUUACGUUCAGUAGCAAGCUUAACCGUAUAGGGCAGGCGUAGCGAAAGCGAGUCCGAAUAGGGCGUUCAGUUGCUGGGCGUAGACCCGAAACCAGGUGAUCUAUCCAUGGCCAGGAUGAAGGUGCGGUAACACGUACUGGAGGUCCGAACCCACUAACGUUGAAAAGUUAGGGGAUGAGCUGUGGAUAGGGGUGAAAGGCUAAACAAACCUGGAAAUAGCUGGUUCUCUCCGAAAACUAUUUAGGUAGUGCCUCGUGUCUCACCUUCGGGGGUAGAGCACUGUCAUGGUUGGGGGGUCUAUUGCAGAUUACCCCGCCAUAGCAAACUCCGAAUACCGAAGAGUGCAAUCACGGGAGACAGACAUCGGGUGCUAACGUCCGGUGUCAAGAGGGAAACAACCCAGACCGCCAGCUAAGGUCCCCAAAUAUGGCUAAGUGGGAAACGAAGUGGGAAGGCUAAAACAGUCAGGAGGUUGGCUUAGAAGCAGCCACCCUUUAAAGAAAGCGUAAUAGCUCACUGAUCGAGUCGUCCUGCGCGGAAGAUGUAACGGGGCUAAGCCAUAUACCGAAGCUGCGGAUGCGAGCUUGCUCGCAUGGUAGGAGAGCGUUCCGUAAGCCUGCGAAGGUGCCUUGUAAAGGGUGCUGGAGGUAUCGGAAGUGCGAAUGCUGACAUGAGUAGCGAUAAAGGGGGUGAAAGGCCCCCUCGCCGUAAGCCCAAGGUUUCCUACGCAACGUUCAUCGGCGUAGGGUGAGUCGGCCCCUAAGGCGAGGCAGAAAUGCGUAGCUGAUGGGAAGCAGGUCAAUAUUCCUGCACCAUUGUUAGAUGCGAUGGGGGGACGGAUCGCGGAAGGUUGUCCGGGUGUUGGACGUCCCGGUCGCUGCAUUGGAGAAGGCGCUUAGGCAAAUCCGGGCGCGGAAUUCAAGGGUGUGGCGCGAGCGACUUCGGUCGCGAAGCAAUUGGAAGUGGUUCCAAGAAAAGCCUCUAAGCUUCAGUCUAACGAUGACCGUACCGCAAACCGACACAGGUGGGCGAGAUGAGUAUUCUAAGGCGCUUGAGAGAACUCGGGAGAAGGAACUCGGCAAAUUGGUACCGUAACUUCGGGAUAAGGUACGCCCUUGUAGCUUGACCAGCCUGCGCUGGAAGGGUGAAGGGGUUGCAAUAAACUGGUGGCUGCGACUGUUUAAUAAAAACACAGCACUCUGCAAACACGAAAGUGGACGUAUAGGGUGUGACGCCUGCCCGGUGCCGGAAGAUUAAAUGAUGGGGUGCAAGCUCUUGAUUGAAGUCCCGGUAAACGGCGGCCGUAACUAUAACGGUCCUAAGGUAGCGAAAUUCCUUGUCGGGUAAGUUCCGACCUGCACGAAUGGCGUAACGAUGGCCACACUGUCUCCUCCCGAGACUCAGCGAAGUUGAAGUGUUUGUGAUGAUGCAAUCUACCCGCGGCUAGACGGAAAGACCCCAUGAACCUUUACUGUAGCUUUGCAUUGGACUUUGAACCGAUCUGUGUAGGAUAGGUGGGAGGCUAUGAAACCGGAACGCUAGUUUCGGUGGAGCCGUCCUUGAAAUACCACCCUGGUUUGUUUGAGGUUCUAACCUUGGUCCGUGAUCCGGAUCGGGGACAGUGCAUGGUAGGCAGUUUGACUGGGGCGGUCUCCUCCCAAAGGGUAACGGAGGAGUACGAAGGUACGCUAGGUACGGUCGGAAAUCGUGCUGAUAGUGCAAUGGCAUAAGCGUGCUUAACUGCGAGACCGACAAGUCGAGCAGGUGCGAAAGCAGGUCAUAGUGAUCCGGUGGUUCUGUAUGGAAGGGCCAUCGCUCAACGGAUAAAAGGUACUCUGGGGAUAACAGGCUGAUACCGCCCAAGAGUUCAUAUCGACGGCGGUGUUUGGCACCUCGAUGUCGGCUCAUCUCAUCCUGGGGCUGUAGCCGGUCCCAAGGGUAUGGCUGUUCGCCAUUUAAAGAGGUACGUGAGCUGGGUUUAAAACGUCGUGAGACAGUUUGGUCCCUAUCUGCCGUGGGCGUUGGAUAUUUGAAGGGGGCUGCUCCUAGUACGAGAGGACCGGAGUGGACGAACCUCUGGUGUACCGGUUGUGACGCCAGUCGCAUCGCCGGGUAGCUAUGUUCGGAAGAGAUAACCGCUGAAAGCAUCUAAGCGGGAAACUCGCCUUAAGAUGAGAUAUCCCUGGAGGCUUGACCUCCUUGAAGGGUCGUUCGAGACCAGGACGUUGAUAGGUCGGGUGUGUAAGCGCAGUAAUGCGUUCAGCUAACCGAUACUAAUUGCCCGUAAGGCUUGAUCCU